AUAUGAUGCAAUAGUUUCUAGAACAACUCAGUAUUCUGGAAUCAUUAUCAGAUUGCUUUUGGACAAGACUGCUCUUCUUUUGUGAUUGCUAUAAAGGAAAAGAAAGGAAAGUGCCUUCAGGGACUCAUGUGAGAAAAGUACAUCAACUGAUGACUAAGCCAACUGAUUUAGGCAAAAGCAGGCUUCCCUUCUACUAAAUCCUGGGAAUAAAUUAGAGUCUACCGGAAAUGUAUGUCGUCCUCUUAUUUCCUUCUGCGUUUCCUCAGGUGGCAUAUGAAAUUAAAGCAGCCAUCUAAACCAUGAGGUAGCACGCUGAAGAUGGCAGAACAGCAAGACAGAAGAGCCCAAGUCCCUGAUGACCAUGGAGCUGCCACACCAGCCAAGGCCUGCCCACCUAUGGAAUCAUGUGCAGAGUUAAGCUAUUAUUAUCAUCUAUUUUCUGUGUAAUGCAGCCAAAUCCAAUUCUAAUAGAUCAGUUUUAAAUAUAUCUA
Long non-coding RNA from Panthera uncia (snow leopard), 491 nucleotides. RefSeq lists it as uncharacterized. NCBI's taxonomy places the organism in Eukaryota, Metazoa, Chordata, Mammalia, Carnivora, Felidae. The record is from RefSeq and is a predicted model, not a curated record. The transcript has 4 exons.